Molecule: long non-coding RNA, 276 nt
Filed under: Vombatus ursinus (common wombat)
Lineage: Eukaryota; Metazoa; Chordata; Mammalia; Diprotodontia; Vombatidae
Description: lncRNA (ENSVURG00010008973.1)
Source: RNAcentral
CUCAUUUUUUUUAAAGCGCCAUCGUAGAGGAUUUAUUUCAGAGCAUGAUUAUCCUCAAUAGUCUUCAUAUUAUUGACAUCCUCCAAAUGCUCAAAAUGCACCACAUGGAGGAUGUCAAUAAACACAGGUUUGCCUGGAAGACUGACUCGAUCUCCCUGUGUAUUGAAUCUACAAGUCUACAAAUUCAUCAAUCUCUCCAUUAGAUGAUAGCUCCAACUUUGUUAGAUUAACAUGAAUCAUUCCCCCAAAAGACUAAUGCUGUCCUUUAUACUCUCC